RNAcentral lists this long non-coding RNA (1660 nucleotides) under Homo sapiens (human). RNAcentral describes it as "HSALNT0102539". The record is from RNAcentral. Lineage: Eukaryota; Metazoa; Chordata; Mammalia; Primates; Hominidae.
AAGGGUGCUCCAUCACGUAACUUUAUCUGUUCUGAAGAUUGGAAAAUCCAGGAUGCAGUGGAUUUUCAAAGAGCCCAUCUGUGUUGUGUUUCAGCUCUCAGUCGCUGGCCCCUCUAUCCUCAGUGAAAACUAAAUCUCCAUGAUGUGCUAGACGGCACGGGCUGGAUUAUUUGUAUUACAGCAGACUAAAUUCAGAGCUGAGAACAGGGCCGCCUUCUGCAGCUCAGCGAAACUGUACGUGGAAAAUUUCACAAGCUCAGCUGGUUCUUGGGGACAGCAAAUCUCCGGUAUCCUGAUGAUCAUCUGGAAAGAGCAGUGGACCAUGAGGAAACCCAGCUCAGGAGGUGAACAAAGACUUGAAGGACUUGGAGGGGUUGCCGUGCAAACACAGAGGGGAGGAACAUCCCGAGCAGAGAAGUCAAUGCAAGUAUCCUAAAACCAUAGAAAGUUCAUAAAGGGAAGAAGAAUGGGAGAGACAACAGGAUUUGAACUCCAUUUGUGUGUAUUGGCACCUGCAACAUUAUCUUUUCUAAACACCACAAAAGAGAUUUCCUACACUACUCCAACCAGGAAACUUCAUUAUGAUGUCUCUGAGGAGCUUGAGAAGAAAUGAUGUUUGUCACUGCAUCAGCACUCUAACAACCUCUAAAUAGGUGGUUCACUGACUAAUUUGAACCACAAUUUCAUCGGAGUCUUACAGCAGAGUUUGGAUAAAAUGGUAAUUGAUCUUAAAUCUGUGCAUGUUCUAAACGCAAGUCUGACUUUACCACAGAGGCAGAGCAGGUGGCCACCCUCCAAACACAAAACAUUACUGGGAACGAAAUGCAAAAUGACCGGUGUGUGAGUCAAAGACUGGGAUUUGGAAAGAGUAGGCAAUUUACAGUUUGCCUAGGGUAAGCAAAAAUUCCACAGUCAACUGCUGACUACAUGGAUUAGCAAAUUCAAACAUUUUCAGGUUAGGAAGAGAGAAGAAUUUGCAAAUGAACUGACAAUGGAUUUAACAGGUUUUAGCCUGAGGUCGCUUAAAAUUUUGAACACCACUUGCUUAGGAAACGGGGGCAGUCUGGAAGCAAGCACUAGUACUGGAUCAGCUUUGCUAAAACUUACAGACCCUUGGGUUCACUGACUGUCCAAAUGAUUUUUGACUAUUUCCGCGUAUUUCUAAUUGGGUCACAAAAAUCAGCACACUUUCUCUAAGAAAACACUGUAUACACACAACAGGUUCACACAAAUCAAAUAUUCUGUUUUCUGUCUUCGGUUGUUUAAAAUAUUGAAAUAUGCCAUACUCAUGACACAAUGGAAAUAUUCAAGCUGCAAGGUGAAACACAUUCAAAUAUGGCUUAAAAUGUCUAUUCACUGAAAAUGUAUAUUUCACCCAGAAAUAUAUCCAUUCAAAUAUUAAUAAAACAAACUGGAUGUUCAGCAUUAUGUCUGAGAGGCUUUUUUUGGCAGCCAUAAACUAUACACUGAUCACUUUUGCACUAAUAUUAUGAAUGAACAUUCUGCUCAAGUGAUUCGAUGAGGAAAGACUCCAGUGCAGUUUUGUCUUGACUAAACUUGGGUCACUCUCCAGAAGAACAUGAUAUGUACUUUUCACCUCUAAAGCCAGGGAACCACAUGCUGGCCCACACAUGGCCAGAGCUGCAAGAUCUGGUAAAAA